This 409-nucleotide ribosomal RNA is filed under the name Bombus excellens. Its description in RNAcentral is "partial 12S small subunit ribosomal RNA". The record is from RNAcentral. Lineage: Eukaryota; Metazoa; Arthropoda; Insecta; Hymenoptera; Apidae.
GGGAUUAGAUACCCCACUAUAAAAAAUAAUUAAAUUAAUUUACUAAUAAAUGUAUAAUCAUUAAAAUUAAAUUAUAUGGCGGCUUUUCAUUCUUAUUAGAGAAAUUUGUAAUUUAAUUUGAUAAUCCACGAUAAGAUUUACUUAAGUUAAAUUUAUAUAUUGUUGUUUUUAUUUUUAUAUUAAAUAAUUUUAAAUUAAUAUUUAAUUUUUAAUAAUUAAUCAAAUCAAAAUGUAGUAUAUUUAAGAAUUUAUGAAUUAUAAUAAAUUUUAUUUUUGAAUAAUUAAAUUUUAAUAUUAAUUUGAAAGAGGAUUUAAAAGUAAAUUUAAUUAAUUAAUUAAAUUGAAAUUAGUUUUGAAAAGUGUACAAAUUGCCCGUCAAUUUCAUUAAUAUGGAAUAAGUCGUAACAUA